RNAcentral lists this unclassified non-coding RNA (279 nucleotides) under Hevea brasiliensis (rubber tree). The record is from RNAcentral. Lineage: Eukaryota; Viridiplantae; Streptophyta; Magnoliopsida; Malpighiales; Euphorbiaceae.
CGGACUCUGCACUACGUCUGGAAAUGAAGUUUACGCCGUGUGAGAAGAAUCCAUUGUACCGCCACGGUAUCGCCGGUGAUCCUGAACAUCUAGGAGUGAGGAAUACGUACUUCCCUUUAAGAAAAGGAAGUACAGUGACAAUGUAUCAAGAUGCUCAUGUGCUUGAAGGGAUGUUGCCAGAGAUUGCAAUUGAUGACGGGAAGGUUUAUAAGCAGGAGAAGUGUUGGGAGGAUAUUUGCUAUGCCAUAUCAGAGGCUCACCAUAUGAUUUACAUUGUGG